Long non-coding RNA from Rhinolophus ferrumequinum (greater horseshoe bat), 3326 nucleotides. RefSeq lists it as uncharacterized. The record is from RefSeq and is a predicted model, not a curated record. The transcript has 4 exons. Lineage: Eukaryota; Metazoa; Chordata; Mammalia; Chiroptera; Rhinolophidae.
UUUGCUCAUUACAGAGAGCGGUGUAGGGUGGUUGGGUUCACACUGGACAUGGGGACUGAAGUUCGGUUUGGGACUUCUUGUCCAAGAUGUUCACGAACCAAGUAAAUGCAUGUGUCUCCUCUCCUUCCCCAGAGCUUUAAAACGACAGUGAAUUUAUCUUGUUUACGUGUAUAAAUCACAGUGUCCGAGAAGGAGGAAGCAAGCAGAGCAGAGAGGCCCGCCCGGAGUAUCAGAGAGAGGGGCCUGCCCAGACCCCAGACCGAUUACAUUGGAAUCUCUGGGGUCGUGCCCAGGGGACAGUACUUCGGCAAUGACUGAGGGACUUCCUUUCCAGCCGGUCACCACCUGCUGCCACUGAGCCUGGAGGCGUCUGCAGGGCAGCAUGACUUCACCCAGCACCUCACCUUAUGACCGAUACAAGGCCAGGAAGGCUCAAGACACUGCGCUCUAUGUUGAAAGGAAGGUGAGCUACUCUCCAGGAGUGUCCCCACGGCCCUGAGCAGUCUGUCACAGCAAGCCUCGGAAGCAGGCAGCCAUGGAGAAAGCAGAUGCUCAGAGAGGCUCAGCAACUUUCCUUCUUUCCCUCGAUCACAGAUGGAGAAGCAGAGCUGGGAAUAAACCCGGACCUUGUGAUGUGGACACGUGGUCUUUUCCUCUGCACCAUGAUACGUCCUUCGUCAUAACGAUGACCAUGAGUCAUCAAGAAAAGCACCCAUCCAAGUCCCGGGUAGGAUCCCUGCCUCCAGUUCUGAGCCCUGGAAUGUAUCCUGCACUUGCACAGUUCUGACCCAGCCCACAGGAGAAAGUCCUACAUGUCAGGUGCCGGCAGGGCCUCUGUCCGCAAUCCAGCGACCAGCCUGCACGGCUCCGCUCUCGCCCACCGGGCUGCCGCCCGCUCUCUUGCAACGCCAAAGGCUUGCAGCUACCAAGUCUCCAUCAUGUCCGCUGACUCUGCUCUUGUUCUGGCCACCCUUUCUUUGUCCGUUCAUCCGCUUGAUGACUUUCUGCAGACAGCUGAGCUGUGUCCUGGACGCCUCUUCUUGGUGUCCCUGCGGUACGCACCUCCACACCACACGCGUCCUCCCUUACACGGAUCGGUCGGGAGGCUGGUGCUCUGGGGUAACCAAACCCCUCACCUAAAGCAGCCUGAACAGUAGGGGUUUGUUGUGUGUUUACGAGACGUCUGGAAGUCGAUGGUUUCAGAGUUGGCUCGCUGAUGCCAGGUUCUCAGCGAGCAGCUCCACAAUUCUCUCGGCCCUUCCCCGGGUCGGUCGCAGCAUUUCCAAACUCACACGACAACAUCCCAAACCAGGGCAGAUACAUGAGUUUGUUGGGCUCCCAUAAUGCAGUGCCACGGGCUGGGUGUCUUAGACAAUAGGACUUGAUUUUCACACGAUGCUGGAGGCUGGAAGACCAAGAUCAAGGUGUCGUUGGCAGCGCGGGUUUCUCCUGAGGCCUCGCUUUAUGGCUUAGAUGACCUCCUUCUCCCCGCGUCCUCACGUGCUCCCUCCUGGUGUGUCUGCGUCCAGAUUUCUCCUCCUUUAUAUGAGCACCAGUCGUGUUCAUUAGGGUCCACCUUGAUGGCCUCUGUAAAGACCCCAUCUCCAAAUAUACUCACAUUUGGAGGUGCUGGGGGCUGGGACUUCAACAUGCAUUUCAGGGGAGACACGAGUCAGUCCGUAACAGCAAAAGAUGCAGGAAGAGCAGUUCCCCUCUGGCAAUCUCUCUUUUCGUGUGAAAACCCUCUCCCAGAAUCCUUCGGUAGACUUACAGAGCAGGACUUGGUAACACGCCUUUUUCUGGUGACGAGGGAGUCUAGGAAAGCACUUUCACUUAUAUGGUGGGAAGAGGGCGCUACCAGCUGGAAAGAAGGGGUUAGGGAUGAUAACUGGGCAGGCUACCCAAAGAUCUGUUGCACCCCGCUGCAUAUGUGUCGUGGCUUCCCGCUCACAUGUCUGCCUCUACCCUUUGAUUCCCAGCUCUCAGAAGGAGGGACCAGCGUCCCGCUCAUCUGUGCACCCCUAGUGACUAGCGCAGUUCCUGGCUCAGCCAACGUCUAUCAACGGACUGAAAGAACAGACUUCAACCAACUAGAUGAAAUUGUUCAUGUUGUGUGUAGUUAAAAAUUAGACUCUGUUCAUACGUUUGCCUUGCAUGGUCUGUGGUUCACAUCUUUAAAUAAGUGUGGUGAAUGUUGCUAGUGGAACUGUUCUUACAAUCAGACGAGCCCAAGCGCCAUGAGCUCACGGUGCAUGGGGUCCGGGAACUGCCGCGCGAAGCAUUACGGAGUAAAUGACGGGUGAAGGAACCCUUACAAUAUUGUAAAUGCUUUUAAACGUAUCAUUAUAUACACUUAUAAACUUAAGGUGUCAUCAGGUUUUCUAGAAAAAUGUCUUCCAGAACUGGGCAUCCAUUCCGCUCUGUCGGUAUUUGCAAAAGUGGUAGGUAUGUCACCUGUUUCUAGUGGAAUAAGUGGUGCUGCUGAACUUGGCCAAUAGACCCACAAUGCUUCGCGCAAUCCUACCUGAGAAGUGCAGGUAUAGUCCUAAUUCUGAAACUGAGCUGUUUAAACGGUGUUUGGCGUUGGCUCUAUGGGCUGCGAGCCGCGUGGCACAAACACACGCAGAGCUGCCGCAUCGCAGCAUGUAGCCUUUGCUCCAGGAAGCCUCGUGUACCGACCCCCCAUGCCCCAUGGAUCAGGGGAAAACAAAGCGCCCAACGAGCGGCAUCAGCUGUGGGGCUAAGUGACUGAUUUGAUGGUGGUUCCCCAAAUUUUGGCUAUCCCCCAUGCUGGAGAGACUCCUGAUUUUCAUCUAAUCCCUACUUCCCUUUCAAGGUGAGAGGAUUCAGGGAUGUGUGAAUUACAGGCAGUAAAUGAGGAGCAGGGGAGGCACAAAAGUCAAAGUUGCCACAAGUAGCUGGCUUCCCAGAGGCAGUGUGUUUUGGCACCAGGAGACAAAGUCUAAUCAAGAGUUGAGAGUUGCGUCUCUUCUCGCCCUGUUUCAGACCCAAGGGACCCACACCUCCCUCUUACAGUUCAAGUAAUGAGGUUCAAUUAAACCGUUCUGGUUCCAUUAGUGAUUCAGGGUUUCGGGGGCAGUCUCAGGGCAAAAUAUUUCCCACAAGGAACUAAAGAGAAACUAGUGCUGUUCUGGACCAGACUGGCAGGUAGGGACAGGAGAGGACUUGGUGUGCAGCCAGCAUGUGCUUAAGCUGGACAAGAUGCGUGUGUGUGCGUGUGUGUGCACACGUGUGUGUGCGUGUGCGCACAUGCACUUCUGCAGUUGCCUGUUCUGUGCCCCAGGUGCUUUCCUGACAGCCAGGAG